UGGGGAAUAUUGGACAAUGGGCGCAAGCCUGAUCCAGCAAUGCCGCGUGUGUGAAGAAGGCCUGCGGGUUGUAAAGCACUUUUAUCGGGAAAGAAAAGCCUGGGGUUAAUAACCCUGAGCCUUGACGGUACCCGUUGAAUAAGCACCGGCUAACUCCGUGCCAGCAGCCGCGGUAAUACGGAGGGUGCAAGCGUUGUUCGGAUUUACUGGGCGUAAAGGGCGUGUAGGCGGAUGCGUAAGCUGGAGGUGAAAGCCCCCGAGCUUAACUUGGGAACUGCUUCCAGAACUGCGCAUCUUGAGAGAGUCAGAGGCAGGUGGAAUUCCUGGUGUAGAGGUGAAAUUCGUAGAGAUCAGGAGGAACACCGGUGGCGAAGGCGGCCUGCUGGGACUUUUCUGACGCUGAGGCGCGAAAGCGUGGGGAGCAAACAGGAUUAGAUACCCUGGUAGUCCACGCCGUAAACGAUGGAUGCUAGAUGAUGCAGGUAUUGACCCCCGCAAUUGUCGCAAGCUAACGCGAUAAGCAUCCCGCCUGGGGAAGUACGGCCGCAAGGCUAAA
RNAcentral lists this ribosomal RNA (556 nucleotides) under uncultured bacterium. RNAcentral's name for it is "bacterial SSU rRNA". It matches the Rfam family "Bacterial small subunit ribosomal RNA", at positions 355 to 898 of the family's 1533-position model. The record is from RNAcentral.